UUUCCGUAGGUGAACCUGCGGAAGGAUCAUUAAAGAGAUCAUGCCCUCACGGGUAGACCUCCCACCCUUUGUUUACAAUACCUUUGUUGCUUUGGCGGGCCUGUUUGGCCCCGCGCUGAACAACCGGCCCCGGCUGGUCAGUGCCCGCCAGAGAACCGAAAACUCUGAAUUAAAUGUCGUCUGAGUACUAUGUAAUAGUUAAAACUUUCAACAACGGAUCUCUUGGUUCUG
Molecule: unclassified non-coding RNA, 231 nt
Filed under: plant metagenome
Description: partial contains small subunit ribosomal RNA, internal transcribed spacer 1, and 5.8S ribosomal RNA
Source: RNAcentral